AUCUUAUGGCGAUACCAAUCGUAACAGAUGAAACAGACGUAUCGAAGACGAUCGAUAGAUACAUCCGAACGAAGAUAUAUCAAUCUUGGGUAUAGGACAAAAUGUCGUAUUAUAAAUGCAAUUAUAAAAUUCUGUUUAUAAUCGCUGUACUUCGAAUUGUAGUUAUCGUCUAGAUCUUUUUCCCGUUUCCCCUCUUAUUUUCUUUAUCUUUGCUUUCAACGCACAAAACCCCCUCUGCCUUCGUCGAUCGGUGCCGCGCGCGAAAUCAUUCUGCGCAGAGUCGAGGCGCGUGCGCUGACAAACGAGAAGCAUGUGUAUGUGCGCGUGUGUAUAUAUAUAUGUAGUACAUUAGGUCUCGUACCACAUGUACGAUGAAAGUGCAGCAUAGUCCUACCACACGACGGACAUACACUACGUGUCCGGAAUCGCGAGGGAGAGGAGUCGGCGUAAACGACUCCUAUUCGCAACGCCGAAUCUUCGUAUAGCGAUUUGGUUUAGUUUAUGUCCAACCUUCGGUGGACGCGCUUCUAUUCUUGGCUGACAUACUCUUCGAUGAACGAAGAAAAAUAUGCAGAACGAAACGUGUUUCAGUCAAGACUCUGAUACGACAGAGAAAUAGAAAAAUAGGAGUCGGAUCUUGACUGUGCAAAAGAGGAAA
This is a long non-coding RNA of Vespula pensylvanica (western yellowjacket), 658 nucleotides long. RefSeq lists it as uncharacterized. The transcript is spliced from 2 exons. The record is from RefSeq and is a predicted model, not a curated record. NCBI's taxonomy places the organism in Eukaryota, Metazoa, Arthropoda, Insecta, Hymenoptera, Vespidae.